UAAUGCCUAGGAAUCUGCCUGGUAGUGGGGGACAACGUUUCGAAAGGAACGCUAAUACCGCAUACGUCCUACGGGAGAAAGCAGGGACCUUCGGGCCUUGCGCUAUCAGAUGAGCCUAGGUCGGAUUAGCUAGUUGGUGAGGUAAUGGCUCACCAAGGCGACGAUCCGUAACUGGUCUGAGAGGAUGAUCAGUCACACUGGAACUGAGACACGGUCCAGACUCCUACGGGAGGCAGCAGA
Molecule: ribosomal RNA, 240 nt
Filed under: uncultured Pseudomonas sp.
Lineage: Bacteria; Pseudomonadati; Pseudomonadota; Gammaproteobacteria; Pseudomonadales; Pseudomonadaceae
Description: partial 16S ribosomal RNA
Rfam family: Bacterial small subunit ribosomal RNA
Source: RNAcentral